Molecule: ribosomal RNA, 465 nt
Filed under: uncultured bacterium
Lineage: Bacteria
Description: bacterial SSU rRNA
Rfam family: Bacterial small subunit ribosomal RNA
Source: RNAcentral
CUACGGGAGGCAGCAGUCGAGAAUCUUUCGCAAUGGGCGCAAGCCUGACGAAGCGACGCCGCGUGUAGGAUGAAGGCCUUCGGGUUGUAAACUACUGUCUUUCGGGAGCAAAGUUCCAAGGUGAAUAAUCUUGGAAUUUGAUAGUACCGGAGGAGGAAGCCACGGCUAACUCUGUGCCAGCAGCCGCGGUAAUACAGAGGUGGCAAGCGUUGUUCGGAUUUACUGGGCGUAAAGGGUGCGUAGGCGGUCGUGCGUGUCGGGUGUGAAAUCCCACGGAUUAUCCGUGGAACGGCAUUCGAAACUGCAUGGCUAGAGUGCGGGAGAGGAAGGUGGAAUUCUUGGUGUAGCGGUGAAAUGCGUUGAUAUCAAGAGGAACGCCGGUGGUGAAGACGACCUUCUGGAACGCAACUGACGCUGAGGCACGAAAGCUAGGGGAGCAAACAGGAUUAGAAACCCUGGUAGUCC